This 253-nucleotide ribosomal RNA is filed under the name uncultured bacterium. Its description in RNAcentral is "partial 16S ribosomal RNA". It matches the Rfam family "Bacterial small subunit ribosomal RNA", at positions 524 to 776 of the family's 1533-position model. The record is from RNAcentral.
UACGGAGGUGGCAAGCGUUGUUCGGAAUUACUGGGCGUAAAGGGCGCGUAGGCGGCAUGGCAAGUCAGAUGUGAAAGCCCUGGGCUUAACUCAGGAAUUGCAUCUGAAACUGCUUUGCUUGAGUCCUGGAGGGGGUAGUGGAAUUCCCAGUGUAGCGGUGAAAUGCGUAGAUAUUGGGAGGAACACCUGUGGCGAAGGCGGCUACCUGGACAGUGACUGACGCUGAUGCGCGAAAGCUAGGGGAGCAAACGGG